This 253-nucleotide ribosomal RNA is filed under the name uncultured bacterium. RNAcentral describes it as "partial 16S ribosomal RNA". It matches the Rfam family "Bacterial small subunit ribosomal RNA", at positions 524 to 776 of the family's 1533-position model. The record is from RNAcentral.
UACGUAGGGUGCAAGCGUUAAUCGGAAUUACUGGGCGUAAAGCGUGCGCAGGCGGUUGUGCAAGACAGAUGUGAAAUCCCCGGGCUCAACCUGGGAAUUGCAUUGGAGACUGCAAGGCUAGAAUCUGGCAGAGGGGGGUAGAAUUCCACGUGUAGCAGUGAAAUGCGUAGAGAUGUGGAGGAACACCGAUGGCGAAGGCAGCCCCCUGGGUCAAGAUUGACGCUCAUGCACGAAAGCGUGGGGAGCAAACAGG